Long non-coding RNA from Dreissena polymorpha, 416 nucleotides. RefSeq lists it as uncharacterized. The transcript is spliced from 3 exons. The record is from RefSeq and is a predicted model, not a curated record. Lineage: Eukaryota; Metazoa; Mollusca; Bivalvia; Myida; Dreissenidae.
CACAAAAUAUACACAAAUCUUGACUAAAUUACAAUCGAGUGUGUAUCCAGGCUAAUAACAGUUCCCCGGUUGCGCUGUUUAAAAAGCAUACACUCGGUAUUUAUAUCAUUUAGUGAAAGUAAGUUGGAAAAAUGGAGUUUCGAGCGAACAAACGCAUUAAACUAAGUAGCCAAAAGGGUCCAAGUCCCCUUGAUCUCGCAAGAACGUACUGCCAGAAUUACGUUGAUCCACCAGGUUUUGAAGUAAAAACCGUCAAUGAUGUCAUAGGCGAAGGAGUCUUCGCCACUAAGCCUUUUAAAAAACGGAGACUCUCUUCUCGAAUACAAAGGGGAUCUGAUAACACGAGCAAAACGGCAAUUAGAAAAGGAGUAUGAAAAGGAGGGUCAUGACAGCUUCAUUUACUUUUUUAAAUACAG